Molecule: ribosomal RNA, 494 nt
Filed under: uncultured bacterium
Lineage: Bacteria
Description: partial 16S ribosomal RNA
Rfam family: Bacterial small subunit ribosomal RNA
Source: RNAcentral
ACGAACGCUGGCGGCGUGCCUAAUACAUGCAAGUAGAACGCUGAAGGAGGAGCUUGCUCUUCUGGAUGAGUUGCGAACGGGUGAGUAACGCGUAGGUAACCUGCCUGGUAGCGGGGGAUAACUAUUGGAAACGAUAGUUAAUACCGCAUAACAGUAGAUGUUGCAUGACAUUUACUUAAAAGGUGCAAUUGCAUCACUACCAGAUGGACCUGCGUUGUAUUAGCUAGUUGGUGGGGUAACGGCUCACCAAGGCGACGAUACAUAGCCGACCUGAGAGGGUGAUCGGCCACACUGGGACUGAGACACGGCCCAGACUCCUACGGGAGGCAGCAGUAGGGAAUCUUCGGCAAUGGACGGAAGUCUGACCGAGCAACGCCGCGUGAGUGAAGAAGGUUUUCGGAUCGUAAAGCUCUGUUGUAAGAGAAGAACGAGUGUGAGAGUGGAAAGUUCACACUGUGACGGUAUCUUACCAGAAAGGGACGGCUAACUACGUG